Molecule: ribosomal RNA, 213 nt
Filed under: Vibrio parahaemolyticus
Lineage: Bacteria; Pseudomonadati; Pseudomonadota; Gammaproteobacteria; Vibrionales; Vibrionaceae
Description: partial 16S ribosomal RNA
Rfam family: Bacterial small subunit ribosomal RNA
Source: RNAcentral
AACCUCGGAAUUGCAUUUGAAACUGGCAGACUAGAGUACUGUAGAGGGGGGUAGAAUUUCAGGUGUAGCGGUGAAAUGCGUAGAGAUCUGAAGGAAUACCGGUGGCGAAGGCGGCCCCCUGGACAGAUACUGACACUCAGAUGCGAAAGCGUGGGGAGCAAACAGGAUUAGAUACCCUGGUAGUCCACGCCGUAAACGAUGUCUACUUGGAGG